Molecule: transfer RNA, 63 nt
Filed under: Apis dorsata (giant honeybee)
Lineage: Eukaryota; Metazoa; Arthropoda; Insecta; Hymenoptera; Apidae
Description: tRNA-Thr
Source: RNAcentral
GCUAUAUAGUUUAAUUAAAACAUUAAUUUUGUAAAUUAAUAAUAUAACAAAUUUAUUAUAGCU